GCACAAGCGGUGGAGCAUGUGGUUUAAUUCGACGCAACGCGAAGAACCUUACCUGGGCUUGACAUCCCGAUCGCACCUUAUGGAAACAUAGGGGUCAGUUCGGCUGGAUCGGUGACAGGUGCUGCAUGGCUGUCGUCAGCUCGUGUCGUGAGAUGUUGGGUUAAGUCCCGCAACGAGCGCAACCCUUGUCCUUAGUUGCCAGCAUUCAGUUGGGCACUCUAAGGAGACUGCCGGUGUCAAACCGGAGGAAGGUGGGGAUGACGUCAAGUCCUCAUGGCCCUUAUGUCCAGGGCUACACACGUGCUACAAUGGCCGGUACAAAGGGGCGCAAGACCGCGAGGUGGAGCAAAUCCCAAAAAACCGGUCUCAGUUCGGAUUGGAGUCUGCAACUCGACUCCAUGAAGUUGGAAUCGCUAGUAAUCGCGUAUCAGCAUGACCGCGGUCGAAUACGUUCCCGGGCCUU
Molecule: ribosomal RNA, 463 nt
Filed under: uncultured Desulfuromonas sp.
Lineage: Bacteria; Pseudomonadati; Thermodesulfobacteriota; Desulfuromonadia; Desulfuromonadales; Desulfuromonadaceae
Description: bacterial SSU rRNA
Rfam family: Bacterial small subunit ribosomal RNA
Source: RNAcentral